Molecule: ribosomal RNA, 374 nt
Filed under: uncultured organism
Description: partial 16S ribosomal RNA
Rfam family: Bacterial small subunit ribosomal RNA
Source: RNAcentral
GUAGGUGGCAAGCGUUGUCCGGAAUUAUUGGGCGUAAAGCGCGCGCAGGUGGUUCUUUAAGUCUGAUGUGAAAGCUCCCGGCUCAACCGGGGAGGGUCAUUGGAAACUGGGGAACUUGAGUGCAGGAGAGGAAAGUGGAAUUCCACGUGUAGCGGUGAAAUGCGUAGAUAUGUGGAGGAACACCAGUGGCGAAGGCGACUUUCUGGCCUGUAACUGACACUGAGGCGCGAAAGCGUGGGGAGCAAACAGGGAUUAGAUACCCUGGUAGUCCACGCCGUAAACGAUGAGUGCUAAGUGUUGGGGGGGGUUUCCGCCCCCUCAGUGCUGCAGCUAACGCAUUAAGCACUCCGCCUGGGAGUACGGUCGCAAGACUG